AGCCUCGUGGUGAAGUUUUCACGUUGGAUUGCAAAUCCAGAGACGCAGAUUAAUAGUCCGCCGGGGCUU
RNAcentral lists this transfer RNA (69 nucleotides) under Opsariichthys pachycephalus (thickhead chub). RNAcentral's name for it is "tRNA-Cys". It matches the Rfam family "tRNA". From Rfam's summary of the family: Transfer RNA (tRNA) molecules are approximately 80 nucleotides in length. Lineage: Eukaryota; Metazoa; Chordata; Actinopteri; Cypriniformes; Xenocyprididae. The record is from RNAcentral.